ACUCAAAGGAAUUGACGGGGACCCGCACAAGUGGUGGAGCGUGUUCUUUAAUUCGAUGAUAAGCGAAGAACCUUACCAGGGCUUGACAUCCUUGGAAUCUCUGCGAAAGCAGAGAGUGCCUUUUGGAACCAAGUGACAGGUGUUGCAUGGCCGUCGUCAGCUCGUGUCGUGAGAUGUUUGGUUAAGUCCAUUAACGAGCGCAACCCUUAUGAUUAGUUGGAUUUUUCUAAUCAGACUGCCUCGGUAACGGGGAGGAAGGAGGGGAUGAUGUCAGGUCAUUAUUACCCUUACGUCCUGGGCUAGAAACGCGCUACAAUGGCCGGUACAGAGGGCUGCCAACCCGCGAGGGGGAGCAAAUCCCAUCAAAACCGGUCCCAGUUCGGAUUGCAGGCUGAAACUCGCCUGCAUGAAGCCGGAAUCACUAGUAAUCGUGGGUCAGCACACCACGGUGAAUACGUUCCCGGGUCUUGUACACACCGCCCGU
RNAcentral lists this ribosomal RNA (484 nucleotides) under uncultured bacterium. RNAcentral's name for it is "bacterial SSU rRNA". It matches the Rfam family "Bacterial small subunit ribosomal RNA", at positions 899 to 1397 of the family's 1533-position model. The record is from RNAcentral.